UACUCGAGUGGCGAACGGGUGAGUAACACGUGGGUGAUCUGCCCUGCACUUCGGGAUAAGCCUGGGAAACUGGGCCUAAUACCGGAUAGGAGCCAUUUUUAGUGUGAUGGUUGGAAAGUUUUUUCGGUGUAGGAUGAGCUCGCGGCCUAUCAGCUUGUUGGUGGGGUAAUGGCCUACCAAGGCGGCGACGGGUAGCCGGCCUGAGAGGGUGGACGGCCACAUUGGGACUGAGAUACGGCCCAG
RNAcentral lists this ribosomal RNA (243 nucleotides) under uncultured Actinomycetales bacterium. RNAcentral describes it as "partial 16S ribosomal RNA". It matches the Rfam family "Bacterial small subunit ribosomal RNA", at positions 88 to 334 of the family's 1533-position model. Lineage: Bacteria; Bacillati; Actinomycetota; Actinomycetes; Actinomycetales. The record is from RNAcentral.